AAAAAAAUGUUGGUGUCCAUCAGCAUUUUCGUUGCCUAGAAGGUACCAAGAAACUCGGCUAGAAGAUGUGUUAAAAAGUAUGUAACAAAGAUAUUUUGAAGUUGAGUUUUCUAGCUUUGAUGGUGAGUGAAUUGGGACCACGAGGCCUUGAACGAUGACAAAGCGAUCCUAUAUACCAAUUGAGCAGGCAUAUCCCAAUAUCCCAUUUCAUUCCUCUCGCAUAUCCAAAAGAUUGGUGCGAAUCAUGUGGUAUAAAAAGGCACUUCAGAUAGAAUUACCAUGGCAACUCAAACAUGAAGCAUAGCAAAGGAAGUAGAUGUGGAGGUUAGGGAAUAACAGUGCAAAUCUCUUUUGGCAAAAGAGAACAUGCAGAUUUAUGCAUAUUGCAAACUUCUGUUUUGCCAAAGGAGAUUUGCCCUGCCAUUCACCUGCACAUAAUUAUUAUUUCAUCGCUGCAGCUUUGAUAUCGUUGCUAUACCAACAAAAAAGCUUGUGAACGCUGAAUUGUAAAAAGUAACAGCUGAGACCAUUAACGUGUGGUGUGUGGACUAAAAGUUUGAUAUGAAUCGGUGAAUUCCAACAUGGGCAGUUUAAAUGGAUCUCUGUAUUAAGGUGUAAUAUAUAUUGAUUACAAGAAUGUGAUUUAUAUUGAAAGCUGAUUCAAUUGAGUAUUGUUUUCGACCAGCAUAAACUUCUUCUAUUCCCCUUUUUCUUUUUCAAGGAAGCAGAAGACUUGUACAAUUACAUAAAUCUCUGCAUAAAAUUUAUAUUCUUCAUCGUAAUGAUUUACUGUUAUAUCUGAAGUGACCUCUUGUUGAUCUUUUUCUUC
Molecule: long non-coding RNA, 829 nt
Organism: Quercus robur (English oak)
Lineage: Eukaryota; Viridiplantae; Streptophyta; Magnoliopsida; Fagales; Fagaceae
Exons: 2
Source: RefSeq, a predicted model, not a curated record